RNAcentral lists this long non-coding RNA (402 nucleotides) under Selaginella moellendorffii. RNAcentral's name for it is "long non-coding RNA (SMOE_LNC001578)". The record is from RNAcentral. Lineage: Eukaryota; Viridiplantae; Streptophyta; Lycopodiopsida; Selaginellales; Selaginellaceae.
AAGCGAGAAGGCGUCUGUUCUCCGCGGUGCCAGCUUCGGGAAGGCCGGAUAAAAAUGGUCUCUGCCGCUGCUUCCCCGGCUCUUCACCGGAAGUUUUCUUCUCGUCGUCCUUGUCCGAAAUGGUAUUGUCCGACUUCUCGUCAUUUUCAAGCUCGUGGUCUUCUAACGCUUCCUCGGUGCUGUAGAAUUCCGAACCAUCCCCACCAGUAUCAAAAGUUCUUGCUUCUUCCUCGUGAUCGGGUAAACUAUGGUGCUCCGCUGCUUCAUCGUCUGGCGUGGUCUUUUCUUUCGAAAGCUUGUCAGCGAUGUUUCGCCUGAGCCUGGUGAAAGUGGACAUGUCCUGUCGAUCCACCAAGCUGAGAGCCUCAAGGCAGCCAACGUGAACUCGUCCUAUUCCAGGGA